Molecule: long non-coding RNA, 221 nt
Filed under: Lathyrus oleraceus (garden pea)
Lineage: Eukaryota; Viridiplantae; Streptophyta; Magnoliopsida; Fabales; Fabaceae
Description: Pisum sativum (pea) long non-coding RNA (PSAT_LNC005311)
Source: RNAcentral
GAGGUCUGUCCGUGGUAUUUAUCAGCGGGUUCCAUUUAUUUCGGAUCCCCGGGUAGAAUUUGAGGGUACUUGUUCAGACGAUGAAUGGUUCUGUUGGUGACCGUUGAUUCUGAAGUAUGGGUUCUAAGUUGAUGACCAUUGUUCUAUGGUUCCCGGUUCCGGAUUCAUGCUGAAGUUCUGAUCCUAUGCCUUGUGAUACACAACCAACCAGCCAUGGUUCC